Molecule: ribosomal RNA, 507 nt
Filed under: uncultured bacterium
Lineage: Bacteria
Description: bacterial SSU rRNA
Rfam family: Bacterial small subunit ribosomal RNA
Source: RNAcentral
UAGUCCACGCCGUAAACGAUGGAUACUAGCUGUCCGGGACCUUGAGUCCUGGGCGGCCAAGCGAAAGUGAUAAGUAUCCCACCUGGGGAGUACGUUCGCAAGAAUGAAACUCAAAGGAAUUGACGGGGGCCCGCACAAGCGGUGGAGCAUGUGGUUUAAUUCGAUGAUACGCGAGGAACCUUACCAGGGCUUAAAUGCAUAUUGACAGGGGUAGAGAUACCUUUUCCUUCGGGCAAUUUGCAAGGUGCUGCAUGGUUGUCGUCAGCUCGUGUCGUGAGAUGUUGGGUUAAGUCCUAUAACGAGCGCAACCCCUGUUGUUAGUUGCCAGCGAGUAAUGUCGGGAACUCUAACAAGACUGCCGGUGCAAACCGCGAGGAAGGUGGGGAUGACGUCAAAUCAUCACGGCCCUUACGUCCUGGGCCACACACGUGCUACAAUGGUGGGGACAGAGAGCAGCCACUGCGCAAGCAGGAGCGAAUCUAUAAACCCUAUCUCAGUUCGGAUCGG